CGUUACUCAAAUUGAUGGCCAUCUCAGCGAAAAAUAUGAUUUGACAUUUGUUCAGGCAGAAACUCAAACAGGAUGUUCCAGUGACGAGAACCAUUCAGCGCUGGUCCGACCAAUCGGAAGCCACGCUUCAAGGUUGUUUUGAUCACGUGUCCUGGAAUAUGUUCCGGUUAGCCUCAGAGAACAACAUUGACCUAUACGCUGAGUCGGUGAGUGCGUUUAUAAAGUGCAUUGGAGAUGCUGUACCCACUGUAACUAUUAAAACCUACCCUAACCAGAAACUGUGGAUAGAUGGCGGCAUUCAGGCAAAACUGAAAGCGCGAUCCAACGCAUUUAACCAUGGAAAGAGGUCUGGGAAUAUGUCUGAAUAUAAACAGUGUAGCUAUUCCCUCCGCAAGGCAAUCAAACAAGUGAAAAGCCAGUCCAGGGACAAGGUGGAGUCGCAAUUCAAUGGCUCAGACUUGAAACGCAUGUGGCGGGAUCUACAGGAAAUCACGGACAACAAAAAGAAAUUCAGCCACGUCACGGACACCGACGUCACGCUUCCAGACAAACUAAACACCUUCUCUGCCUGCUUUAUGGAUAAUACAUUCCCACCGUCGCGGCCCGUUAACAAGGACAGCAUCCCCCCCCCUCUCUCUCCUUCGCCGUGGCUGACAUGAGUCAAAAUAUUUAAAUGUGUUAACCCUCGCAAGGCUGCUGGCCCAGACGGCAUCCCUAGCCGCGUCCUCAAAGCAUGUGCAGACCAGCUGGCUGGUGUGUUUACGGACAUAUUCAAUCACUCCCUAUCCCAGUCUGUUGUCCCCACAUGCUUCAAGAUGGCUACCAUUGUUCCUGUACCCAAGAAGGCAAAGAACUGCCUCGUAGUACUCACUUCUGUCAUCAUGAAGUGCUUUGAGAGACUAGUCAAGGAUCACCUCCACUUUACCGGCCACCCUAGACCCACUUCAGUUUGCAUACCGCCCCACUGCCCUAUCCCAUCUGGACAAAAGGAAUACCUAUGUAAGAAUGCUGUUCAUUGACUAUAGCUCAGCAUUCAACACCAUAGUACCCUCCAAGCUCAUCAUCAAGCUGGAGGCCCUGGGUCUGAACCCCGCCCUGCAGAAUUGGGUCCUGGACUUUGACGAGCCACCCCCAGGUGGUGAAGGUAGGAAACAAAAUCUCCACGUUGCUGACCCUCAACACUGUGGCCUCACAAGGGUGCGUGCUCAGCCCCCUCCUGUACUCCCUGUUCACCCACGACUGUGUGGCCAUGCACACCUCAAACUCAAUUAUCAAGUUUGCAGAUGACACAACAGUAGAGGGCUUGAUGACCAACAACGACAAGAGCCUACAGGGAGGAGGUGAGGGCACUCGAAGUGUGGUGUCAGGAAAAUAACCUUUCACUCAACGUCAACAAAAGGAGAUGAUCGUGGACUUCAGGAAUCAGCAGAGGGAGUACCCCCCUUAUCCACAUCGAAGGGACAGUAGUGGAGAAGGUGGAAAGUUGUAAGUUCCUCGGCAUACAUACAGCUUCUCUCUCAAGGCCAUCAGACUGCCUAACAGCAAAUCACUAACGCCAAGGCUGCUGCCUACAUUGAGACCCAAUCACUGGCCACUUUAAUAAAUGGAUCACUAGUCACUUUAUACAAUACACUCUAAAUAAUGACACUUUAAUCAUGUUUACAUAACUCAUAUCACAUGUAUUUACUGUAUUUUAUACCAUCUACUGCACCUUGCCUAUGCCACUCGCCCAUCGCUCAUCCAUAUACUUACAUAUUCUUAUUCCAUCCCUUAAGAUUUGUGUGUAUUAGGUAGUUCUUAGGGAAUUGUUAAAUUACUUGUUAGAUAUUAUUGUACUGUCGGAAAUAGAAGCACAAGCAUUUCACCACACUCGCAUUGACAUUUUCUAACCUUGUGUAUGUGACAAAAAAAUGUUUUAUUUGCGUCCACAUCUCCGAAGUACAAAUCAGCGAAUCAGACUGCAGUCAUCUGACUGCUCCAAGUCAAAGUCAUCGAAGUCACGCCGCAAGAUAAGAGAAUAAAAUAACAAAGGAAUACAACAUCAUCCUUGCACUGAGCUGUAAACUCUUAAAUCAUUGUAAUUUCAGCCAAAAAAAUGUGACAUGUGCAGCAACACUAUUGCAGUCUGUUGCUGUUAUUAUUGUUGUUAUGGUUGCAUCAAACUGAGUAACACAUUCUUUCCAGUACAGGUAAACUGAUCCCAUCCACACCAGAGACCGUAUUCAUGAUUCCACUGGGAGCAAUCAGAGAUCUGGGGUAUCCCUUCGGUCACAAUGGCCUUGCACAGGACAAUACACAAAAUAUUAAAGCCCCCUCUGCAUAAGAGGUAUAGGUCAACAUGUGUCACCUUGACAACAUGAUCCUGGGGGGCAUAGAUGACCCAGUGGUAGUCAGAGUUGUUGCUGUAGGAUUGUGGGUAGUUGAAACUCUGAACGGCCCUCUGAUCCUGGACUAGUGCCACGGUGCCACAUCCCGACGCUGCACAAACACAAAGGACAUAUUAUUAGCCACAAGCCCUGCCUGUGGCUCUACACGCACCCUGUCACACACUUAACCCUUGACAAUACAUGUGCCUCCAUACAACACAAACACUGUCAGCCAGCCAUCUUGGCUCCUGUUUCUGACCCACGUGGUGGUGUAGUUACAGUAGAGGAGUUUGUGUUUAUCACAGACCCUCUGCACCCCAUUGCCUGGUCAUGAGACUGCUGUGUGCCCCCUGAAUGCUCUGUAACUAUGGGUGAGUCAGCUAUAGAAUUUGGAAUUAGAAUUCAGUUAGCCCCAUGGGGAUGUGUGUAUAUGCGUGUGUGCAUACUUGCACAUGUCUGACUAGCAGCACUUGGAGGGUGUGUGGCUAACAAGGUGGAGGGCUCUGCUAGGAUUGAAAGAGAGUAGGGAGCCUAUCCAUUGUCAGGAACUCUGAGGGACUAGACACAUCCAGUCAUCAGGCAUGGUGAUGAAACAUGAGACCCAGCACAUAGCUCUGCCAAACACCGUACUCUAUCAUCAUGUCACGAACACAAUACACAGGUAUUUGCAGUAUAAACAGAGAACUAAAUAAUUAUUUAGCAGAAAACAAAUGCUAUGAGGAUCCAGCCAUCAGUUUCAGUCUGUCAUUUUUAUAAUCCAAAAACACAGUAUUGAAAUAGAGCACUUCUGCAAUGGUAACUGGUUUAAUAUUCUGUUGUUAACUCUGAGAUUUUUUCUAUCCCUGGGGUGAGUGGGGUUAGGCUUGGCGAGCCAAGUAUGCAUGGCCUGACAUAGAGGUUACACCUCGGAAUCUAACAACAAAUCCGCUUCCUGUUCCACUGACGUCAGACACAAAGUGGCACCUUCCUAAGAGAACCCAGUGGUGUAAAAAUACUUAAGUAGUACUUUAAAGUAUUUUUACUUAAGUUGUUUUUUUGGGGUAUCUGUACAUUACUAUUCAUAUUUUUGACAACUUUUGCUUUACUACAUUCCUAAAGAAAACAAUGUACUUUUUACUCCAUACAUUAUCUCUGACACCCAAAAGUACUCAAAAAGUUACAUUUCACAUGCUUAUCAGGACAGGAAAAUGGUCCAAUUCACACACUUCUCAAGAGAACAUCCCUGGUUAUCCCUACUGCCUCUGAUCUGACAGACUCACUAAAACACAAAUGCUUCAUUUGUCAGUUAUGUCUGAGUGUGCCCCUGGAUAUCCUUAAAAAAAAGAAGCAAAUAAAAUGGCGUCAUCUGGUUCUUAAUAUAAGGAAUGUGAAAGGAUUUAACUUUUGAUUCUUGGGUAUAUUUUAGCAAUUACAUUUACUUUUGAUACUAAAGUAUGUAUAUAGACUUAUUUUUCUACUGUAUUAUUGACUGUAUGUUUGUUUUACUCCAUGUGUAACUCUGUGUUGUUGUAUGUGUCGAACUGCUUUGCUUUAUCUUGGCCAGGUCGCAAUUGUAAAUGAGAACUUGUUCUCAACUUGCCUACCUGGUUAAAUAAAGGUGAAAAAAAAUGUUUAAAACCAAA
Long non-coding RNA from Oncorhynchus tshawytscha (Chinook salmon), 3988 nucleotides. Lineage: Eukaryota; Metazoa; Chordata; Actinopteri; Salmoniformes; Salmonidae. The record is from Ensembl.